This 74-nucleotide transfer RNA is filed under the name Strongylogaster xanthocera. Its description in RNAcentral is "tRNA-Ala". Lineage: Eukaryota; Metazoa; Arthropoda; Insecta; Hymenoptera; Tenthredinidae. The record is from RNAcentral.
AGGAUAGUAGUUAAAAAUAACAUUUGAUUUGCAAUCAAAAAUUAUUAAAUCAUUCAUAAUAUUAAUCUAUCUUA